Molecule: ribosomal RNA, 253 nt
Filed under: uncultured bacterium
Lineage: Bacteria
Description: partial 16S ribosomal RNA
Rfam family: Bacterial small subunit ribosomal RNA
Source: RNAcentral
UACGUAGGGUGCAAGCGUUAAUCGGAAUUACUGGGCGUAAAGCGUGCGCAGGCGGUGAUGUAAGACAGGUGUGAAAUCCCCGGGCUUAACCUGGGAACUGCAUUUGUGACUGCAUCGCUGGAGUGCGGCAGAGGGGGAUGGAAUUCCGCGUGUAGCAGUGAAAUGCGUAGAUAUGCGGAGGAACACCGAUGGCGAAGGCAAUCCCCUGGGCCUGCACUGACGCUCAUGCACGAAAGCGUGGGGAGCAAAAGGG